AUUGAACGCUGGCGGCAUGCUUUACACAUGCAAGUCGAACGGCAGCGCGGGGCAACCUGGCGGCGAGUGGCGAACGGGUGAGUAAUAUAUCGGAACGUACCCAGAAGUGGGGGAUAACGUAGCGAAAGUUACGCUAAUACCGCAUACGAUCUACGGAUGAAAGUAGGGGACCGCAAGGCCUUAUGCUUUUGGAGCGGCCGAUAUCUGAUUAGCUAGUUGGUGAGGUAAAGGCUCACCAAGGCGACGAUCAGUAGCUGGUCUGAGAGGACGACCAGCCACACUGGAACUGAGACACGGUCCAGACUCCUACGGGAGGCAGCAGUGGGGAAUUUUGGACAAUGGGCGCAAGCCUGAUCCAGCAAUGCCGCGUGAGUGAAGAAGGCCUUCGGGUUGUAAAGCUCUUUUGUCAGGGAAGAAACGGUAGAGGCUAAUAUCCUUUGCUAAUGACGGUACCUGAAGAAUAAGCACCGGCUGACUACGUG
RNAcentral lists this ribosomal RNA (482 nucleotides) under uncultured bacterium. RNAcentral describes it as "partial 16S ribosomal RNA". It matches the Rfam family "Bacterial small subunit ribosomal RNA", at positions 30 to 507 of the family's 1533-position model. The record is from RNAcentral.